Molecule: ribosomal RNA, 253 nt
Filed under: uncultured bacterium
Lineage: Bacteria
Description: partial 16S ribosomal RNA
Rfam family: Bacterial small subunit ribosomal RNA
Source: RNAcentral
UACGUAGGUGGCAGGCGUUGUCCGGAUUUACUGGGCGUAAAGAGCGCGCAGGCGGUCGUUCAAGUCGCGUGUGAAAGCCCCCGGCUCAACUGGGGAGGGUCACGCGAUACUGAUCGACUCGAAGGCAGGAGAGGGAAGUGGAAUUCCCGGUGUAGUGGUGAAAUGCGUAGAUAUCGGGAGGAACACCAGUGGCGAAGGCGACUUCCUGGCCUGUUCUUGACGCUGAGGCGCGAAAGCGUGGGGAGCAAACAGG